RNAcentral lists this long non-coding RNA (2755 nucleotides) under Hordeum vulgare. RNAcentral's name for it is "long non-coding RNA (HVUL_LNC015519)". Lineage: Eukaryota; Viridiplantae; Streptophyta; Magnoliopsida; Poales; Poaceae. The record is from RNAcentral.
UUUUGCUGCUCGCCGCUAUACACCUCAGCCCAACCGACCUCCCCUACCGCUCUAUAGCACCCUAUCACGUCCUCGACGCGCCAAAUGCUAGACGCCACCGCCGCCGCCUGUUGUGGUCGGCACCAUCCAGGCCACCUGACGUGCCCCCAAGCACCUCAACUCGUCGAGCUCAUCCUCAUCUUCGUCAUCAUCCCCUACAAGCCCCGCCAGCCAGGCGCCGCCUCCACUGUUUGCCAUCAGUGGCUGCCCAUCUCCCUCUGAGAGCAUCCCCAAGCCACCAAUCGACUAGUAGUGGCCAUCUUCCCCGCCUCAAGCAGUGACGCUCUGUGUCGUCUCUCUCUUAAAUUCGACAACCCCAGAGUUUCUGCCUCUCUACUCUCUCCACCAGAAACUUCCUCAGGAUCCAGCAAACCUAUUUCCAUCUCGCAUUCCACCGAAAACGAGCCAAGGGCAGAAGUCCAUUUGACCAUAGCCAUCCUCCACCAUGGUUGAAGCGCUGCUCAACCUCGAGCCCUCCAGCAACCCAUUUAGCCUCCAUCGUAUGCAAUCUCCUCUCCUAAGAAUGUGGAUGUGCCUCGCGCUAGAAACGGAGUCUCCUAGCGCUAGCAAUCAUCGUCGGAGUUCGCUUCUCUCUCUGUCCAAUGCGUGGGAGGAAGAAGGUGAACCCGAUAGGUGGGUCCCACCUGUCGGUGAGCCAGCCGACCCGCUAGUGGUGCUAGCUACUAGUAUGAUUUCUACUCUAGUAAAUACUUCUCUUUUCAAUGCUCUUUCUCUUCUCGAAAGCGUAAACCCUACCGAACCGUUUUCUUUUAUAACUGUAUUUAGAAACCAGAUUUCACCAAAGUUUGACUGCUUAUAAUUUUUAAACGAUAACUCAAAAAAUAUUUAUUAUUUUUUUGUUAUUCCUCAAAUUUAAGCAAGUUUAUUUUAGUAUUUAUUAAGAAAUUUGCCAAACAACUUUUCUACACUAUUUUGGAAAUGUGUGUUGAUUUCAGUAUUUUCAAAAAAAGGAAAAUUGGAAGGGGGAAUACUUUCAAAAUAUUUGGAGUGCAACCAACCCUUCUACAUACUCAAGGAAAGCAUCUUGAACACUGAUAUGUCAUAAACGGAGUGAUUGUUUUGCUGCGAUAAACGAAUGCAUGAUCAUGUUAGUGACAUAAAAAAUCAUAUGGAGAAUAUUCAUGCAUGAAUGCAUAUGGUGGAAAUUUAUUCUUCUUGUUGAUCAUGAGAUUGAUAUGAGAAGUGGUCACUGCCUCAUGCGAUCUAUGUUUAUACUAGUCUUGAAAAACCCCAGAGGAAGGUUUUGUCCUGAGUAAAGUGUGACGGCGAAAUAGAUAUCUCGUUGUGAUGAGAGCGAUCAGUGAGGGCAUAACUGGGCAUGAUGAGUGGUGACUAUGUUGGAUAACAUGUAGAAAAUUUGGUGUGCUAACCAUUGUAGGGAACUUAAACCUCAUGAGUCGACCAUAGAUCGAGUCUUGUAAUAGUAACCCCCAUACUUGAUUUGUGCUACCGCUGGUCCCUGCCACAGGUAGGGUACGGUCGAGUAAGUCAUCAACCCCUUUCCUUACACACACACCAUACACAAAGGCCACAGUCAAAGAUACCAAUAAUCAUUGGUAGGCAUGUCACUUGGUCCUAGGGCAUGGGUGUUUUGGUUGAACCGAGGGGGUAGCGCCCCAGUUUGCACACAUUACAAGUAUUGUGAUCCCAUUAUAUUCAAGAUUGUGGUCUCCCCAAUUAGAAUUUUACUUAACGUUUGCCUUGGGCGAUUCCUGGCAUCGGAAAGUUAAGCUGGUGUGUCCGUGUCAGGUGUGUUUCCAAUUCAAGGACCGUAAUCGGAAUUAGUCAACAACACGGGCUGACUAAAGAAAUCAGUUACACGUGGGUUAAGAGUACCCCCUGUGUAGAGUAUUAUACCUAUUCGAAUAGUAGUGUGUGCGGUUAAGGACUGUAGUCUGGGAUGGGUGAAGUGUCGGUCUCAGUUUCGAUCUUCGGAGGAAUUAAUUUAACAAGACUAUAAAUCUUGAAUUAAUACGGAUGAUUAUUAUUUUCAAAUUGUUGUAGACUAACCUUUUAUGUAUAUGAUGUUAUUGAGUAUCUCGGGCAUGGUGUUGCCGCGUGAAUCGUCAUAUUCGUAAUUCCAAUAUAAGCCCUUUAUAUGGCAUCGCUUCAAACGUCCGACUGUGGCACUUCUGUUAUUAUUUUGUUAUCUACCCCUUUAUGAGGCAUUGCUUCACACACUCGAUUGUGGCAUGUAUGUUAUUAUCUUUAAUAUAAGCCCUUUAUAUGAUGUCGCUUCAGACGCCCGACUUUAGCACGUAUGUUAUUAUAUUUAAUAUAAGCCCCGCAUGUGACGUCGCUUCCAACGCCCGACUGCGGCACGACUGUUAUUAUUUUUAAUAUAAGCCCUUUAUGUGAUGUCGUUCAGACCUCCGACCGAGGUAUUUUUUAUAUUUUUCCCUUUUGAUGUGUCGCUUCAGGUACCCGAUUAGUACAUUUUAAUUUUCUUGAAAUCCUCCAGAGACUCAACCCGAUGUUCCAUUUUUUUACCUUCCCUUAUUAUUGAUUAAUUUUAUUUUAUAUUACGGAUAAAUUAUCUGCAUAGUGGCAUUCAUGAAUUAUUCCUAUGGCAUGUUAGGUAUUACUAAAGUUCUCAUGCUUGUAACUCACGUGCUUUGUCAUGUCUAUUUUCAUGAUGUUUCCGAGUACAUUCAAACGUAUUUACUGGCUUGUCCCUGGCUAUUUUCUUGGUCAG